UUAACAUGUGCGCACCUUUUUCUACAUUAUUGCGACGAGACAAAGCCAUGGCAGAAUGUUGCAGUGCGGUCAGUGCUGCAACUGUGUCUGUUGUCGCCAGAGGGGAGUUACAAUGCGGCACAUUCAUCUUCACAAGUCACUGCAAACUGUUGUUAGUAUGCUGGUGUGAUGGUUUGUUGAGGUUUUUGAACUGAACAUCACCUUCAUCAAACCAAACCCCUUUGUCUGAUAUUGCCAUUGAAACCAGGUCAGGUCAGUGCUGCCACUGAUACUGUGUCUGAUAUCACCAGUAGGGCCAGGUGAGGUCAGUGCUGCCACUGUGUCUGAUAUCACCAGUAGGGCCAGGUGGGGUCAGUGCUGCCACUGUGUCUGAUAUCACCAGUAGGGCCAGGUGGGGUCAGUGCUGCCACUGUGUCUGAUAUCACCAGUAGGGCCAGGUGGGGUCAGUGCUGCCACUGUGUCUGAUAUCACCAGCAGGGCCAGGUGGGGUCAGUGCUGCCACUGUGUCUGAUAUCACCAGCAGGGCCAGGUGGGGUCGGUGCUGCCACUGUGUCUGAUAUCACCAGCAGGGCCAGGUGGGGUCGGUGCUGCCACUGAUACUGUAUCUGAUAUCACCAGCAGGGCCAGGUGGGGUCGGUGCUGCCACUGAUACUGUAUCUGAUAUCACCAGUAGGGCCAGGUGGGGUCAGUGCUGCCACUGUGUCUGAUAUCACCAGCAGGGCCAGGUGGGGUCAGUGCUGCCACUGUGUCUGAUAUCAC
Alosa sapidissima (American shad) is the source of this 759-nucleotide long non-coding RNA. RefSeq lists it as uncharacterized. The record is from RefSeq and is a predicted model, not a curated record. The transcript has 3 exons. NCBI's taxonomy places the organism in Eukaryota, Metazoa, Chordata, Actinopteri, Clupeiformes, Clupeidae.